This 759-nucleotide ribosomal RNA is filed under the name uncultured bacterium. Its description in RNAcentral is "bacterial SSU rRNA". It matches the Rfam family "Bacterial small subunit ribosomal RNA", at positions 8 to 738 of the family's 1533-position model. The record is from RNAcentral.
AGAGUUUGAUCAUGGCUCAGGACGAACGCUGGCGGCGUGCCUAAUACAUGCAAGUCGAGCGCAGGAAACUGACGGAACUCUUCGGAGGGAAGGCAGUGGAAUGAGCGGCGGACGGGUGAGUAACACGUAAGGAACCUGCCUCAAGGAUUGGGAUAACUCCGAGAAAUCGGAGCUAAUACCGGAUAGUUCAUCGGACCGCAUGGUCCGUUGAUGAAAGGCGCUCCGGCGUCACCUUGAGAUGGCCUUGCGGUGCAUUAGCUAGUUGGUGGGGUAACGGCCCACCAAGGCGACGAUGCAUAGCCGACCUGAGAGGGUGAUCGGCCACACUGGGACUGAGACACGGCCCAGACUCCUACGGGAGGCAGCAGUAGGGAAUCUUCCACAAUGGACGAAAGUCUGAUGGAGCAACGCCGCGUGAGUGAUGAAGGUUUUCGGAUCGUAAAACUCUGUUGUAAGGGAAGAACACGUACGAGAGGGAAUGCCCGUACCUUGACGGUACCUUACGAGAAAGCCACGGCUAACUACGUGCCAGCAGCCGCGGUAAUACGUAGGUGGCAAGCGUUGUCCGGAAUUAUUGGGCGUAAAGCGCGCGCAGGCGGCCUUUUAAGUCUGAUGUGAAAGCCCCCGGCUCAACCGGGGAGGGCCAUUGGAAACUGGAAGGCUUGAGUACAGAAGAGAAGAGUGGAAUUCCACGUGUAGCGGUGAAAUGCGUAGAGAUGUGGAGGAACACCAGUGGCGAAGGCGACUCUUUGGUCUGUA